AACACUUUGAUUGGAUUCUUCGGAUGAAGAUAAUUGUGACUGAUUGGCGGACGGGUGAGUAACGCGUGGGCAACCUGCCUUACACAGGGGGAUAACAGUUAGAAAUGACUGCUAAUACCGCAUAAGACCCCAGAACCGCAUGGUUCUGAGGUAAAAACUCCGGUGGUGUAAGAUGGGCCCGCGUCUGAUUAGGUAGUUGGUGUGGUAACGGCUCACCAAGCCGACGAUCAGUAGCCGACCUGAGAGGGUGACCGGCCACAUUGGGACUGAGACACGGCCCAGACUCCUACGGGAGGCAGCAGUGGGGAAUAUUGCACAAUGGGGGAAACCCUGAUGCAGCGACGCCGCGUGAGCGAUGAAGUAUUUCGGUAUGUAAAGCUCUAUCAGCAGGGAAGAAAAUGACGGUACCUGACUAAGAAGCCCCGGCUAACUACGUGCCAGCAGCCGCGGUAAUACGUAGGGGGCAAGCGUUAUCCGGAUUUACUGGGUGUAAAGGGAGCGUAGACGGUCCUGCAAGCCAGAUGUGAAAGCCCGGGGCUCAACCCCGGGACUGCAUUUGGAACUGUAAGGCUAGAGUGUCGGAGAGGCAGGCGGAAUUCCUAGUGUAGCGGUGAAAUGCGUAGAUAUUAGGAGGAACACCAGUGGCGAAGGCGGCCUGCUGGACGAUGACUGACGUUGAGGCUCGAAAGCGUGUGGAGCAAACAGGA
Molecule: ribosomal RNA, 707 nt
Filed under: uncultured bacterium
Lineage: Bacteria
Description: bacterial SSU rRNA
Rfam family: Bacterial small subunit ribosomal RNA
Source: RNAcentral